Carassius carassius (crucian carp) is the source of this 1138-nucleotide long non-coding RNA. RefSeq lists it as uncharacterized. The transcript has 4 exons. The record is from RefSeq and is a predicted model, not a curated record. NCBI's taxonomy places the organism in Eukaryota, Metazoa, Chordata, Actinopteri, Cypriniformes, Cyprinidae.
CAUAACUUCUCACUCUGGUAGAAGUGAUGAAGAUGGCUUAAAAAAAGAGGAACCUUCGAGUCAGGAGGGAAGUGUCCAGACAUUUGCACCAGAGACGGUCACCACAGUGAAAGCUUAUGCUCAGAAAAUAAAACAUCACCGACGGUCCUGAUUAUAUUAUCUAAAUCUGUGUGGAAGUCAUCAGAUAUUGGUAUAGAUUUAGAAGAUACAUUGUUUGUUGUGGUAUUGAUUUUGUAGGCACUGCAAAUCAUGUUGAAAUGUUAAAUAAUGAGAACAAGACCAAUGCCUCAAAACACAAGCCCCUCCCUGAAGGCCAUCACUCCUCAGCUGUCAGAAGUCCAAGUGAGGAGGAUUUUCAAAGGUAAGAUGGCCAUUACAUUCCAGUCUCUAUCUAAACUAUAUGCAUUAAUCAUUCUCUCGCAAUAUCCCCAUUCAUUGUUCACUAAUUUGUGCUGUUUAUCCCUUCAUUAAUUGUGACAUGAAUUAUAGUCACUAUCCGUCAUCCUCAAAAACCUCAAGGUUUUCAAAACAAGGUAUGAAAGUGUGAAGUUUCUUCAAGGUUAAUUUCAAUCCAUUUAAUAAUGUCUUGAGUCCUUGAGACAUUUCGUACCCUGAAUGUCAUUAACAUCUUCAUUUUUUUUUCUCAUCAGGUUGAGGGCAAAAAUAUAAUUCCUCUUGGUGCCAUUAAUCGAGCUGGAUUUAUAUCCUGUGAUAUAGUCCUGCCAUCAGGUGAAAUUACAGGUAAAACUGGGGAGUGCAGUUGACUUCACGCUGGACAUCAUUGAAGAAAAUAUUAGCCAGCUCUCCGCGAGCAUCUUGUCACCCACGGGCAAUGAUGUACCCUGUUUGCUGAAAACACAACCUGACAGCCAUCUCGAUGACUUUAAUAUUUGGUCCCGUGAGGCCGGAGCAGGAACUCUGUCUGUCUCAUUGAGCUCCACUUUGACUAUCAGCUGGAUGCUUCUAGCACUGUGUCCUACACGUUUCAAGAGCCUGGUGGGUAAUUCCUGUAAUGCAGCAUAUGUAAUGUUGCAUGUUCACUAAAACUGUACACAAGACUUUCACAAAUAUCUGAUAAAGGUCAGAUACUUAAACUUUAAUUAUGUACGCUUUAGUAGAAUGACCAAAGAUAACUUAU